RNAcentral lists this ribosomal RNA (253 nucleotides) under uncultured bacterium. Its description in RNAcentral is "partial 16S ribosomal RNA". It matches the Rfam family "Bacterial small subunit ribosomal RNA", at positions 524 to 776 of the family's 1533-position model. The record is from RNAcentral.
UACGUAGGGUGCAAGCGUUGUCCGGAAUUAUUGGGCGUAAAGGGCGCGUAGGCGGCUAGAUGUGUCAAAGGUGAAAUCCCUCGGCUCAACUGAGGAACUGCCUUUGAAACUGUCUGGCUUGAGGCCGGGAGAGGGUAGCGGAAUUCCCAGUGUAGCGGUGAAAUGCGUAGAUAUUGGGAGGAACACCAGUGGCGAAGGCGGCUACCUGGACCGGUUCUGACGCUGAGGCGCGAAAGCGUGGGUAGCAAACAGG